RNAcentral lists this ribosomal RNA (473 nucleotides) under uncultured bacterium. Its description in RNAcentral is "bacterial SSU rRNA". It matches the Rfam family "Bacterial small subunit ribosomal RNA", at positions 8 to 526 of the family's 1533-position model. The record is from RNAcentral.
AGAGUUUGAUCAUGGCUCAGAGCGAACGCUGGCGGCAGGCCUAACACAUGCAAGUCGAGCGCCCCGCAAGGGGAGCGGCAGACGGGAGAGUAACACGUGGGAACGUACCCUUCAGUUCGGAACAACCCAGGGAAACUUGGGCUAAUACCGGAUACGUCCGUAAGGAGAAAGAUUUAUCGCUGAAGGAUCGGCCCGCGUCUGAUUAGCUAGUUGGUGGGGUAACGGCUCACCAAGGCGACGAUCAGUAGCUGGUCUGAGAGGAUGAUUAGCCUCACUGGGACUGAGACACGGCCCAGACUCCUACGGGAGGCAGCAGCGGGGAAUAUUGGACAAUGGGCGCAAGCCUGAUCCAGCCAUGCCGCGUGGAUGAUGAAGGCCCUAGGGUUGUAAAGUCCUUUCGGCGGGGAAGAUAAUGACGGUACCCGCAGAAGAAGCCCCGGCUAACUUCGUGCCAGCAGCAGCGGCGGUAAUAC